RNAcentral lists this small nuclear RNA (22 nucleotides) under Arabidopsis thaliana (thale cress). RNAcentral describes it as "snRNA_13045". The record is from RNAcentral. Lineage: Eukaryota; Viridiplantae; Streptophyta; Magnoliopsida; Brassicales; Brassicaceae.
AUAAAUUGGUCAAACUUUCUUU